AAAAUACAUCAUGUGUGACAUCAUCGCAGUAGGUGACUUGCCUAGAUCGGUCCACAAACAUGGGAAACUCGCUUGUAUUUACAUUUUUCUCUGCCAUUUAUGUGGCUUACAGAAAUGGCAAUUUGGAUAUUUUGAAUCUUCAAGGUGUGUGGAGUCGACCUUAGGAGAUGGUGAAUCACUUUCUUGUUUUGGUGCAACAAUGUGCCCAAAACUGGAGUUCUUCAUGAAUUUCCCACAGAGAAGAAGCAACACGACAUGGAGCUCAUCUAAUUCCUGAAGCUGGAGGAGGACAGUGGCACCGCCAGCAUUUACUCCGAUGGUGCAGAUCACAUUCUGAUCAUGUGC
Molecule: long non-coding RNA, 345 nt
Organism: Thalassophryne amazonica
Lineage: Eukaryota; Metazoa; Chordata; Actinopteri; Batrachoidiformes; Batrachoididae
Exons: 3
Source: RefSeq, a predicted model, not a curated record